ACCGGGCUUCCGUAUAAACUGAAUGUGCUUAUUAUACAUACAUAGUAGUAUAGUACGUACGUAUGUACGUACGUACGUACAAUGAGACAAUUAUUGUACAAACAAAAUUAUGUAACACCAUCAAUGAAAUAAUUUAAUUCUAAUAACAGAUUGAAGUAUUUUUCAAAAGGCUGGAAAUCGAUUCAUGAAUAACCACAAAAGUAUGUUACAGUUGUUCCGCAGUUGUAAGUGGAAUUGGUAAAUUGUAAAGUUCAAGCGUAAUUCAUCAAGAGACUCGUCAGAAUCUCGCAUCAAGUGAUUGCGCCAAGUACAUUCCAAAAAAACGGGCGCACUACCGACAACGAAUUCAGCUCUGAAUUCGUUGCUACCGAGUAUCUUUACUGCAACGGGAGUUCACGAGUUUCAUCACAUGUGAUAAUUUGGAUCAGAGAUAUCUUCCUCACCGCCAGACACCUUUUUGUGAAGGACCUUCAGGAGAUCUUCUACAGGAACGACGAAACCCAAUAUUUUUAUUAAUAAAAUAUGAAUUCUGAGAAUACGUUAAAUUCGCUAAAUGUUCAUAUAUUUUAUGUAAUUUUUAAUUAUUUUCGGAUUAAAUUUAAAUAAAAAUGGUAAAGUGUUGUGCUGUUCUAGAUUGUUUAAUUUGGUAAAAAAAGUGCGUAAGAAAAAUAAGGACUCCAAUCUUC
Long non-coding RNA from Athalia rosae (coleseed sawfly), 686 nucleotides. RefSeq lists it as uncharacterized. The record is from RefSeq and is a predicted model, not a curated record. Lineage: Eukaryota; Metazoa; Arthropoda; Insecta; Hymenoptera; Athaliidae. The transcript has 2 exons.